AUUGAACGCUGGCGGCAGGCCUAACACAUGCAAGUCGAACGGUAACAGGAGCAGCUUGCUGCUUCGCUGACGAGUGGCGGCCGGGUGAGUAAUGUCUGGGAAACUGCCUGAUGGAGGGGGAUAACUACUGGAAACGGUAGCUAAUACCGCAUAACGUCGCAAGACCGAAGAGGGGGACCUUAGGGCCUCUUGCCAUCGGAUGUGCCCAGAUGGGAUUAGCUAGUAGGUGGGGUAACGGCUCACCUAGGCGACGAUCCCUAGCUGGUCUGAGAGGAUGACCAGCCACACUGGAACUGAGACACGGUCCAGACUCCUACGGGAGGCAGCAGUGGGGAAUAUUGCACAAUGGGCGCAAGCCUGAUGCAGCCAUGCCGCGUGUAUGAAGAAGGCCUUCGGGUUGUAAAGUACUUUCAGCGGGGAGGAAGGGAGUAAAGUUAAUACCUUGGCUCAUUGACGUUACCCGCAGAAGAAGCACCGGCUAACUCCGUG
Molecule: ribosomal RNA, 489 nt
Filed under: uncultured bacterium
Lineage: Bacteria
Description: partial 16S ribosomal RNA
Rfam family: Bacterial small subunit ribosomal RNA
Source: RNAcentral